Molecule: ribosomal RNA, 502 nt
Filed under: uncultured bacterium
Lineage: Bacteria
Description: bacterial SSU rRNA
Rfam family: Bacterial small subunit ribosomal RNA
Source: RNAcentral
UAGUCCACGCCGUAAACGAUGAGUGCUAGAUGUCGGGCUUAUGCUCGGUGUCACAGCUAACGCGUUAAGCACUCCGCCUGGGGAGUACGGCCGCAAGGUUAAAACUCAAAGGAAUUGACGGGGACCCGCACAAGCGGUGGAGCAUGUGGUUUAAUUCGAUGCUACGCGAAGAACCUUACCACCCUUUGACAUCCUGUUCGGGGAUUAUAGAGAUAUUUUCCUUCGGUUCGGCCGGAACAGUGACAGGUGUUGCAUGGCUGUCGUCAGCUCGUGUCGUGAGAUGUUGGGUUAAGUCCCGCAACGAGCGCAACCCUCAUCCUUUGUUGCCAGCGCGUAAUGGCGGGGACUCUAAGGAAACUGCUCGUGACAAGCGAGAGGAAGGUGGGGAUGACGUCAAGUCAUCAUGGGCCCUUAUAGGGGUGGGGCUACACACGUGCUACAAUGGGCGCUUACAAUGGGGUCGCUAUGCCGCAAGGGCAAUGCUAAUCUCAAAAGGGGCGCC